AACAAUUAGGAAAAUUUUUCAAAGUUCGAACUUGAUGAAUACACGUUCUCCUAUAUACACAUCGGAAUCAAAGUGAGGAUUUUGUCGUUUCCCGAGGUAAGGAAAUAUUUGGAUAAAUUUGGUACCUUCCCGAGGUGGAUUUGGAAAGAUUUGGUACCUUCCCGAGAUGUAAUCAUUGGAUAGAUUUGGUACUUUUCAAGAUUGAUUUGGGAAGAUUUAUUACCUUCCCCAAUAUUGAUUUCCCGAGGCGUACCUUCCCGAGGCGUAAAGAUUUGGUAUGAAAGGAAUGAGAGAGAAGAGAUGAAAGAAAAAGAGAAGAAAGGAGGAGCGGACACGUAUGCAGGAGGAACUGUCAAUUAAUGGAUUUGUAAAGAUAUCUAUAGCUGACGUGGCGCAACCACAUUUUUUUGCUUUUUUUAUUUU
This 423-nucleotide long non-coding RNA is filed under the name Ananas comosus (pineapple). RNAcentral describes it as "long non-coding RNA (ACOM_LNC035978)". Lineage: Eukaryota; Viridiplantae; Streptophyta; Magnoliopsida; Poales; Bromeliaceae. The record is from RNAcentral.